Molecule: long non-coding RNA, 961 nt
Organism: Pangasianodon hypophthalmus (striped catfish)
Lineage: Eukaryota; Metazoa; Chordata; Actinopteri; Siluriformes; Pangasiidae
Exons: 2
Source: RefSeq, a predicted model, not a curated record
AUAACGCAGCGCUAUGAUACACACAGGAAUGAGGUGUGUUACAUCAGACAGCUGGAAAGCCCUGCAGUGGGAAUGUCAGGAAUGAGGCAGCUGCCUCCCACUUAGCGCUUUAUCUAAACCGGUUACAUUACCACACAGCUAAACAACAUGUACAAUGUGUUUACACCUUUUUUUCUCUUACUGUAACAGGAAUUCAUCCAGGUAGUAAACCUUUAUGGAUACAUCUUCACUUUGUACUUUGUGUUAAUGAUUUGAAGUCAGUGACUCAGUAUAGUGAAGAGAUUGUAUUGGAAAUGACACCGUGACUGCGAGAAGUGACUUUUAAGGCAUUUGGUUUGGAUGUGAGCAGUUACUUCAGAAUUCACUCGGGAUCAUCAACACUGUGUACACAUUGUAUUCACUUGAACUCACACACACUGGCUCAGAUGGUCGCGGGAAAAGCAGGAGGUGGAUCGAGUUAAAGCUGUAUAUAUUCCUCGUAAGAACAAACUAUUUAAUCAGUGAAACCGAAAUCCUGGAUUAGCACAAACUCAUACCACAAAUUGUGGUCCUUACGCCAAGAUGAGGAUCAUAAUUCCAAAUAAGUCAAACUAUACAUGUCAUUCUCAAGACUGGUCUGAACAGUCAGUUCAAUCUGGAAGAUGUUAGAGAAGGUUUUGAGGCAUUUUGUUGAAUCCAAGCACUUUAGAAUUGAACCUGGUGCUGUCAUCAGCAGUCACAUCAUCAGGACAGCCGAGACAUCUCAGUUACACUGGCACUCAUACAUGCACAAGUUGAACUAGAGUGAUCUUGUUAAGAUUUAAAAAAACAGGACUUCCUUCACUGAGAAACCUUUUAUUCUAAGAAUCUAGAGUGCAAUUAUCCAGUUUGUUAUCCAUGAAAAAACAAAUUAAACAUUAACAAAUUCAUAUUAAUUUAUUUAUUAAUAAAAGUAAUUAAAUAAACGUGGAAUUGACUAUGA